Molecule: long non-coding RNA, 695 nt
Organism: Eurytemora carolleeae
Lineage: Eukaryota; Metazoa; Arthropoda; Copepoda; Calanoida; Temoridae
Exons: 5
Source: RefSeq, a predicted model, not a curated record
AGUUCGGCCAGCCGUUGGUUGGAAGUCACAGAUGAUUAUUUACUCUCAAAGCGAUCUACCAGUCCUCUUGUUGAGCCUCCUUAUUUUUGUGAAAAUAUGAGACAAGUGUACAGGAGAAUGCUGACUAAUCCUGAACCCUUGAAAACCAUUUUCAAAGGUGGAGAAGGUAGAAGAUAUAGACGAUGUGAAGCCUCAGGUAAAUGGAUGUUAGUUGACCCACACCUUUACGAAGAUGGAUUAAUAGAGUCAAGCCAAAUCAGACAACCCAGCUUUAAUAUCAAGGAUUUUGUAGCUUCAGUGAAGAAACUGUGAAAGGUUGAAGCGUCUUUGGAAGUUUAACAUAGACAAUCCAGAACUUUGCAGUUUCAGUCAAGAAACUGUAACAUGAUGUAGCAUCAUAGCUUGACAAGUAAAGUCAAGGAUUUGUACCUUCUUGUAACGGUUUUUUCAUAGACAAUCCAGAACUUUGCAGUUUCAGUCAAGAAACUGUAACAUGAUGACAGCUGACAAGUGAAGUCAAGGAUUGGAAUUUUCAGUGUCAAAUCAAACUAAAUCAGACUUUAAGGGACGUCCUGCACCACACACCAAAAUUAAAGUGACUAAACAAAACCAAUAAUGAUGUGACGUCUUACAAUUCGUAAACUUUGUUAAUUUUUUACUUGGAAGUUUUCAGAAAUAAAUAAACAAAAAUUGCA